CAAAUUAACAUCCAUAGCAAGAAUAAACCAAGAAUCAACCAAUUCACCUACAUUUUCAGCUAAUAAAUUUGUCCUUUUUUGUGGGUUUUAGUCGAUUUUUGGGCUCAAGAUGGAUUGCAGAAAAGCAGUGAUUCUUGUAUUGGUAUUUGUCAUCUUUGUUGCCAUUAUCGGGCAAGUUCAUGUGGAGGCAGCGAGGUUGCUGACGGAGGAAGACUUCGCCGGUGCCAAUCACUUGGAUAGAUUUCCAUCCGUAUAUGCAAAAGCAAGAGACACGAUGUCAUAUUGGUUUGAAAGGUUGGCAUCUGGACCUAGCCCUAAAGGACCUGGUCAUUAAGCUUAAAAGUAUGGCCAGCAAGUAUUUAGGCAGCAGUUCGGCCAUGCAAGGACAAUGAGCAACCAACACUAGUAUAUUUUGGUAGUAUUUACCAUUUAGAGAGGGUCUAAGACUCAGUUUUCUUUUUGGUUAUUUCAUUCUUUCUUUCUUUCAUGUCUUGUUACACUAUGAAAUCUUAAUGCAUAGAUGUCUAUUUCUGACUUUUGCCCUUGAAGUGGCAGUUAUAAUGAUAGAUAUAUUUUUUUUUCAAUUCUUUCUUUCAUUUCUUUUGCCCUUGAUCAAUGGUUCAAGCUUUCUACAAUAGCAAGUCCAUGGAUAACUCAGGUGUUCC
Molecule: long non-coding RNA, 665 nt
Filed under: Coffea arabica (coffee)
Lineage: Eukaryota; Viridiplantae; Streptophyta; Magnoliopsida; Gentianales; Rubiaceae
Description: long non-coding RNA (CARA_LNC002658)
Source: RNAcentral